GACGAACGCUGGCGGCGUGCUUAAUACAUGCAAGUCAACUUGACUUUAGAUAGCAAUAUCGAAAAGUAGGGUGGCGCACGGGUGCGUAACGCGUAGGUAAUCUGCCCUGAGGUCUGACAUAACCCGUCGAAAGGCGGGCUAACAUCAGAUGAUAUAUAAUCACGACAUCGUGGAAAAUAUCAAAUCUUCGGAGCCUUGGGAUGAGCCUGCGUCUGAUUAGGUAGUUGGCGGAGUAAUAGCCCACCAAGCCUACGAUCAGUAGCUGGUCUGAGAGGAUGAUCAGCCACACUGGAACUGAGACACGGUCCAGACUCCUACGGGAGGCAGCAGUAAGGAAUAUUGCUCAACGGGGGAAACCCUGAAGCAGCAACGCCGCGUGAAGGAUGAAAUACUUUUGUAUGUAAACUUCUGUAAGAUGGGAAAAAUAUUCUCCUCGGAGAAUUGAUUGUACCAUCAGAGUAAGCCCCGGCUAACUACGUAGCC
Molecule: ribosomal RNA, 483 nt
Filed under: uncultured bacterium
Lineage: Bacteria
Description: bacterial SSU rRNA
Rfam family: Bacterial small subunit ribosomal RNA
Source: RNAcentral